Molecule: ribosomal RNA, 497 nt
Filed under: uncultured bacterium
Lineage: Bacteria
Description: partial 16S ribosomal RNA
Rfam family: Bacterial small subunit ribosomal RNA
Source: RNAcentral
GAUGAACGCUGGCGGCGUGCCUAAUACAUGCAAGUCGAGCGAACAGACGAGGAGCUUGCUCCUCUGACGUUAGCGGCGGACGGGUGAGUAACACGUGGAUAGCCUACCUAUAAGACUGGGAUAACUUCGGGAAACCGGAGCUAAUACCGGAUAAUAUAUUGAACCGCAUGGUUCAAUAGUGAAAGACGGUUUUGCUGUCACUUAUAGAUGGAUCCGCGCCGCAUUAGCUAGUUGGUAAGGUAACAGCUUACCAAGGCAACGAGGCGUAGCCGACCUGAGAGGGUGAUCGGCCACCCUGGAACGGAGACACGGUCCAGACGCCUACGGGAGGCAGCAGUAGGGAAUCGUCCGCAAUGGGCGAAAGCCUGACGGAGCAAGGCCGCGUGAGUGAUGAAGGUCUUCGGAUCGUAAAACUCUGUUAUUAGGGAAGAACAAAUGUGUAAGUAACUAUGCACGUCUUGACGGUACCUAAUCAGAAAGCCACGGCUAACUACGUG